AUGCUCAUUUUAGCAGCACAUAUACUAAAAUUGGAAUGAUACAGAGAAGAUUAGUGUGGCCCCUAUGAAAGAAUGACACACACAUUCGUGAAGCAUUCCAUUAAAAA
This 107-nucleotide small nuclear RNA is filed under the name Salvator merianae (Argentine black and white tegu). Lineage: Eukaryota; Metazoa; Chordata; Lepidosauria; Squamata; Teiidae. The record is from RNAcentral.